RNAcentral lists this ribosomal RNA (588 nucleotides) under uncultured archaeon. RNAcentral describes it as "bacterial SSU rRNA". It matches the Rfam family "Archaeal small subunit ribosomal RNA", at positions 1 to 587 of the family's 1478-position model. The record is from RNAcentral.
UUCGCCCUUUUCCGGUUGAUCCUGCCGGACCUGACUGCUAUCGGAUUGAUACUAAGCCAUGCGAGUCAUUGUAGCAAUACAAGGCAGACGGCUCAGUAACGCGUAGUCAACCUAACCUAUGGACGGGAAUAACCUCGGGAAACUGAGAAUAAUGCCCGAUAGAACACUAUACCUGGAAUGGUUUGUGUUCCAAAUGAUUUAUCGCCGUAGGAUGGGACUGCAGCCUAUCAGUUUGUUGGUGAGGUAAUGGCCCACCAAGACUAUUACAGGUACGGGCUCUGAGAGGAGUAGCCCGGAGAUGGGUACUGAGACACGGACCCAGGCCCUAUGGGGCGCAGCAGGCGAGAAAACUUUGCAAUGUGCGAAAGCACGACAAGGUUAAUCCGAGUGAUUUGUGCUAAACGAAUCUUUUGUUAGUCCUAGAACCACUAACGAAUAAGGGGUGGGCAAGUUCUGGUGUCAGCCGCCGCGGUAAAACCAGCACCUCAAGUGGCCAGGAUGAUUAUUGGGCCUAAAGCAUCCGUAGCCGGCUCUGUAAGUUUUCGGUUAAAUCUGUACGCUUAACGUACAGGCUGCCGGGAAUACUGC